This 9566-nucleotide long non-coding RNA is filed under the name Gallus gallus (chicken). The record is from RNAcentral. Lineage: Eukaryota; Metazoa; Chordata; Aves; Galliformes; Phasianidae.
AGUCACCAUAGAGCGGUGGUUUCUCUGUGCAGAGCAGCUAGAAGUCAGACGUCACUUCCGGCUUCCUGUGCACACGCGUCUUACUGCCUGGAGGCUCAAACACCAUAGAAGUUGGCGGACUCGAGGCGCAGAGCGGCUACAUGCAAAUUACGGAUGCGCUGAGCCAAUCGGCGGCCGCGCGGAGGCAGCGAUGAGUUAAAGCGGUACUUUUCAUAGGAGGUGUGGAAGAAAUGUGAGAAAGAGGUGUCUUAGAUGAGAGGAGACGACUGGACUAUGUGGAUCAAGGGAGAAGAGUGAGUUGCUUGCUGCACAUUUUGCUUACGGAGCAUUAGUACAAGCUAUUCAAUUAAAGUAACUUUGGCUAAUUAGAUACUUCUGAAAGACCUCUGUCGCUAGAAGUGUCUUUUCCUUCAUUCACUUGUAGAAUGGGACAUCUAAGCAUCAUGCUUCUUCAUGCUCUGUUUUCAUGAUCAUACACUGUGCUGGUGUUCUUUAUUUGUUUUUAAAUGCAGAAGUGAUGCAGGCAUAAGCUGAUCCUGCACUGGGGUAAAUGUUGAGAUAUUAAGUAACUUAAUGUCUUACCUCUGUUUUCCUGUGGUCAUUUCCUUUUCACUUUGAGUCCCUUGACCCAAGUACAGUAGAAACAGUGAUUAAAAACAAGUGCACCUGCAGAGGCAGCUGCCAUAACUGCACUUGGAUUUGGCAGCAUGGACAGUGCUUCUAAAUGUGAGGGAAGAACAAGCAAUUGGCAUUCCAUGAUCAGUCUGAAACUUUCAGAGAGUCAUAGCAAUCUCCCCCGCUCCUAAAUAUGUACAUCUCGCAUCAGAAAACUCACUACAGUACAGUUACCAGAUGCUGAAUCAGCGUGAAGAAGAAACAGCCACACUGAAUGCAUAGAGGAAAAAUGGGUCACCUACCAUCAGUGAGCAUCAUGGCUCGCUGUCAGCUGAAAAUAUGGUUUGGGGCAUAGACAGUGAGUACAGCCAGAUGUCAUUUUUAAACACUGGCUCACUGUAUGCUGCCAACAAAUAAAAAGUCAUUUGAAUUUGAACUUCAAACUCAAUGGUUUUGGAAAUAAGCAAGGUGAGAACCUGCCUAUUUUGUAUGAGCUCCCUUUUGCUAAGCAUCCCUAGGGCUGCAGUUUUAGAGCCUGAAUGAGAGAAUCCAAAGCACCAGAGGGACAUAUUCUGUUGCAUCCUUAGUUUAUGGAAGUAGGGAGCUGCUCUUCUCUUUUUUUUUUUUGCACAUGGUAUCACUGCUCUGAUACGUAUAAUCAAUGCUAUGAGUUUUUGGAAUACAGUUUGUUUGUAACAGCAGCACAGCUGCUUUCUACUCCAUCUAGUUCCCUGUCAGUAGGCUGCUUCCUUUCAUGAUGGAAUGCACUUGUUGUUUUGAGCACCAGCAAACAGGAAAUUAGAGAAAGUGAACUGGACAAAUUGCAGACACUGUAAUUAUCUUUAUCUUUGAGCUCGUUGCAAACCAGCUGUCCCACCAGUCUGGUGAGAUGGCACAUCUUACAGCCAAGCUGAAAAUGAAGGAUGAAGGAGCACAAUUUGUCAGAGGAGGUGCAGAGAUCUUGGGGGACUCCAACAGUUAGCAGUUGUUUGACCAGCUAUUUUAAAAUUGACAUAGAUACCCAUUAUGAAGUUGAUGGUAACAGGAGGAGGAGCUCACUCAUCUCAUAGCGCUGAUUCUAUGAUUCUGUGUUAUUUGGAAAACAACCAAAACCACACCAAGACUGGACUGAACUCUUCUCUGACAUGAAUGGGCAGCACAGCUUGCAGAGAAUAACGCAGUCACAAAACCAUGGAGCUUCUUCUCUUUUGUGAGCUGAUUGUGCUCAAGAACACACACUAUACUAAUACACCAAGAACUGUCCUAACCAACCCUUCUUUGUCUCAGCUGUUACUUUUACCUUUCACAGUCAUGUCAAUGGAAUAUGUUUUAUAGUUCCAUUUCCUUGUUUUAAUCACCUGCUAGACAGCACAGAUGUCAGCUUGCAUUUCUUGCAUUGCAGAAGUACGAGAAUUGUUCCCCACUUACCUUCUCCAUGUUCACUGACUUAACAGUCUCUUUUUUGUGCCCCUGAUCAUCAUACAGGAUUCUUAGUUCUGAAGUUUCACCGUUAAGAUGGAUGGCCCAUAAUUACUGCAUACAGUGUUCAAGAGAAGGACAUAGGAGGAAAAAUAAAUAUCCAAAACCUAACAUGUAGAAAAGGACCAGUGCUACUCUAUAGCUUGACUUCCAUAGAGCAUGCACUGUUAUCUGAAAAGCGGAAAAUGUAUCCAGAUGGUAUAAUUCUUUUAAAAGAAUGUUUUCCUUUAUUUUAAAAAGAAUAUGACAGACUGUGUUUUAAAGAUUUGCAGCAUAAAUUCUUAAGAGUGGAAAAAAUGUUAUGUUAAUUUGGUCAUAGUUCUAAUGAUGAAGCUAAACAAACUUCUUUUCUCUCCAUCUUCUAUCUACCUGUCCAUGUUUAAUAAUGUAGUUCCUUGUUACCAAAGCACGAGAUCAGCUAUUGGUUAAUAACUUAAUGCUAACUCAAUUCUAAAGAGACUCCAUCCAUGUCAGAUAACCCACCUAGAAGAAAACUUUCCAGAAUAACUUUCUGAAGUAUUGGAGCCCUCGGUAAUUGUAAUUACAAAUGUAGUUCCUCUGACAGACCAAAGUAAACCCUGAACUCAAACAGGAAGGUUCUGACUGCUGUGUUGUAUGACAUCCAACUCUAGUUUGAAAUUUUUCUUGAUCUCCACCCCCCUCAAGAUUCAGAAUUUGGAUUAGUCGGUUUAGACACAGAGCUAGAAAAAUGCCACUUUUGUUAAUGAAAUUAAAAUAGCCCAUAAGCCGAAGAAGUAAGAAAGCAAAGAAUCUUCUUAUAAGGGGAUGGAAAUUGAUGCUAAAUUUACAUUUAUUUCAAUUUCUGAAGAAAAUAAAUACUGUCUUACCAUGUAUUAGGACUUUUGCUUAGUACGAAUUAUUUGUUGCUAUCUAAACAGGUUGAGUUGUGUGUUCUAGAAUACAAAAGUGACUUUGUUGUACAGUUUCAUCGGCCUGAUGAUUCUCUGCUGGAAAUCAGUGGAUGACUCAAAGCAAAGACAAAAGGCAGCCAAGUGUCAGACAGCAAAAGACAACACCGUUUUUCUUUCUUCAUGACAGCUGGGAUGAACAUUUGCAAGAUACGGAUCCAAAUGUUUCUGUACGUAAAACUGUUUGUCACCUGGUGAUCAGCUAUGCCUGUUUGUUACCAUGACCAAACAGUGAGUCCUCAUUUUGAUUCAUCAAGAACUUUGCCCUUUGUUGUGAACUAAAGUACUACUAAAACCUGACAGAGCAAGAACUAAGUUGUUCAAAAGGAUACUGAGUCAUGGUGCAGGAAACACUGAUUAUUAUGCCCAACUUGUUUUCACAUACAUGUGUGCAUGUGCAUAAUAGGUAGAUGUAAGCUCAUUGCUUGCCUUGCAAGGAACUGCUGUAUUUUGUAAGACACAUAGCAAGCAACUUCUCUUAUAUAGCAAGCAUAAUAAGUAAACUUCCCUUUGGUUUCAAUUUCUACAUCCAAAAUAUUUACAGGGACUAUUGAAAUCUGUCUAUCAACUCCUAGGCAAGGCCCUAGACAUUUUUCUAGCUGUUGCGUAAGAAACAACAAAUCUCAGUUUAUGUGGUGCAUGAGAGCUGGCACUGAUUUUCCUAGGAAGCACUGCAACUGUUCUGGUUUGGGCUGCGUUAGAGUUAAUUUUUCAUAGUGAGUGGUAUAUGUCCCUUAAAGAUAAUGCCUUUUCACAGUAUCUGUCUUAUUUUUAAAAGCAUUAAUUAAGAGGAAAGGCAGACAGCAGUAAAAGUAUGUCCACAAUUAACAUAGGAAAAUACUAAGCUCAUGUAAAAUGACUGUAGCGUGCUUUCUGUUGCUUUAUGAUGGAAAACAGAUCUGUACUAUCUGCACACAAAAAGGAGGAAAGCAUUAUUUAAAGUCUCUAAUAGCAUAUUAAGCUGGAGGAAAUUUUAAAUGAUUAGCCUAAUUAGUCUACUUCUUAACAAGGAUCAAGUAAGUUACUAAUGUAGAAAUGAGUAAGGCAGAAGGUUUGUACCUUCUAAGAAGCAUGGCUGCCCUUUAAGCUGCCAUCUGAAUCCACAGUCUCUCCUCUUAGAAUAAGGAAGUUAAGAUCUGGCACUGCUUCAGUUCAAUAAAAAACAAAAUAAUUUGGAUCUUGAUCCCCAAUUUAUCCUGUAGCUAUCUGAGAAAUUCUUUCCUUAUUAACAGAGAAAGAAGGAAGUAACUGUAGAAACUGCUUUAAGGCAGCUGCCUAGAAUUUUUCGUGGUAAUGAGCUCUGUUCAUAGACUUUAAAAAGUUUAAUUAAAUACAGAUGAAUGACAUUUCCUACUUUCGUAAAACUAUAGAUCGGCAUUUGUAAGAGCUCAUGAAGGCAUCCAGUCCUUGUCCUAAUUAGCCACGGUAGUUUAAAGCAAAAAAAAGUAGUGCUGGAGGGGGGGGAGGGGAUCUACUGUUGAUUUAUCAAUUAUGGUAUUUUCUAUUAUACCAAAAUGAUGCAGAAAGGCUUUGAAAUCCAUCAUCCCAAUGCCAGUUUCUGCAGUUAUGAAAAAAAUGCCUAUACUGACAACAAAGUCCAUUUCAUGCUCUUGUAUUCCACUUGACCUUCUAUCUUCUCAGUUUAAGGAUUGUGGCCUGAGGCCACCGCCGUGUCAGUCACCCACAUGUUAACUCUGGCAACAAACCAAGUAUUGAAUUCUUGCAGAAACGCCGAAAAGAUCGUUAGAAAAAAAGAAAAGCUUAUGUGUACAUACAUACUAUGGUAAGUCUACCUCAUGAGUCUCAUGCUGCACCUUUUGUGAGAUCUUCAGCAAAUAAAUGAAAUCUUAUGCAAAAGUUCACAUGUGGUUUAACGAAAUGUACAUAAAAACAAUUGUCUGCUUACUCACAAGGAGCACUUCUGGCUGCACUUUUGUCGAGAGAAUGAUUCUCAAUGGGCCCCAUGAAUCUCAGCCUGAGUGUUGGCUGAUACAAGAAGGUGAACAUGUAACACAAUGAGAUCUACUGCUGCACAGCUGCCUCCCAGCAGAGAAUGCAUUACAGUGCUCACGUGCGUUUGUAUGCUUGCAAACUCAGUCAGCUCAGUGGUAUUUGUUUUCUAUUAUCUAGAAGAGCAUUUGAGUGAGCAAACCCAGAAGGUGGGUUUGAGGACGGACCGGGCUGCAAGCUUCCAACCUGCGUAGUACAGAAGGACUCUCAGCAACUGGCCCAAGAGGAAACUGAAGAUGACUUGGUCCUGUGCUGUAGUAACAACACUUCACUGCUUUGGAAAAACAAUAAAAAGAAGAAAGAAAAAAGAAAGCAUUGAGAGUUCCAACACCAUAAAAAGAUAAGAAACAGAAUGUAUUUUGAGUGAAAGUGGAAAAGUCUUGUGUUACGCAACACAGUCAUGCAGAAAUCUCCAAAACAGGUGUGUUCAUAACAGCAUGGCACUGAGCAUGGAUUAAUUCAUUACAGCUGAGAUACUCCUAGGUUCUGAUUGGAAUAGUUUGUGGGUACAUCUUCUCACAGAUGUUCCAGCUCAGAUAUGUUACUGCCUCAGGCCUGCACUUGUACCAUUGGUUCUUGUGGUUUGGCUGAACUGGAGCAAGAGGAACAGAAAGACACAAGGAUUGUUUGCAAAGAAAAACAUAUAGAGGGGGAAAGUAGAAGCAGUUAAACAAAUAAAGAGGUAUUGAAGAGAAGGAAAAUCAAUGAGUCAUAAGUGAACAUGGACGAACUUUCAGAGGAAGUGAUGCAUGCAUGUAGAUGGAUAUUGGAUAUUACAUAGAGGGUAUUUCAAUGCUGGCAUUUGAUUUGAAAGAACAACCAGGCAGGUCCACUUUCUCUCCCUACUAAUUUACAUGAGAUUACUAACUCUCCUCUAAUUUGUAUUAGGACAUUUCAAAGCUCUGCGUGAUUUCCAAAGGCAAUUUGUGCCAAUGGGAAGGUAUACACACAGCAUAUGAAUGAGUACAAGGGAACUUGAUCAAAAUUCCAGUCUCAUGUAUUUUUUCUGAACACUUGCUGCACUCCUUUCAGAUCUGGAAAAUUGCAGGCUGACAUAUCUCUGGAUUUUUUAUGUUGUGCUUCUUUUCUCCUAAGAUCUACGCCCUACUGGUUCUGGGAAACUUGUGACCUCUGCAUUUUUAAUUAGAACUUGUAACAUUUUCCAUAGCAACAUAUUUUGAUGUCGCAAAUACAGAACCUGUCAAAUCAAACAAUUUCAAAGUGCAAAGCUACGGCCUUCUGGUCAAUUGAAGUCCAAGUACAUGAAAACACUGAGAUGCAAGGAAGACUGAAAAUUAUUUGUUGGUUAACUCAUAGCUUUGAUCUUCAUAAUUAAUAAAUCAGUACAGAUAUAAAAGAAUUACAUUGCAUGCUGGAGUGGUUUAGAUGAACUCAGUACUAAUUUCAUCGCACGUGAGAGCAGAUAGAAUCCAUCUGUCUGACUGGUGUGCCAGUACUAACAUGGUACAAAGGAGAGGAUCUAUUUCUAGGAAAUAGUCGAGAUGUGGAACAAACUUCACUCACAUGAUGAGCUGUGUGAGCAGGAAGUGAAGAAAACAGAAAUCCUCUGAAACGAGGCCUGAGCUCAGAUUUCAACAGACCCACAAUAUGAGCAGGAAUAAUAAUAAUGGGUUAAGAAAAGCAGUGUAACUUAGCACUUAAAUAUGUAUAUUAAAAAUAAGUCAUUUAUUUAUGAUACAUGCCCUGCAAGUGCCAAAUAAUACUUCUGUCAAGUCUGAAGAACAUAAACUGAGAAUUUUUGUCAUUCAGAUAUACUUAUCUUUCCUUUUCCUGCUUUAAGCUAAGACUAAUGGCCAAGGAAGUCAUAUUUUCCUGCCAUUACUAAGACUGCACAAGGUAAUUUGCCCCUCUGCAAGGACAUCCACGUGUAACUGUUAGUCACACCAGCAGCCACGAGAUAUGGAUAUGAUCAUCAAGUCUUAUUAAAACAAAUGCUGAAUACCAUGAACCUUUCAGGAGGAAAAGGCAAGUGUCAAUGUGGAAUGCGGUAAGAACUUUCUUGUUUCUGGUAGCAUUGGGUAUGUGACUGCUAUCCCUUUUCUUAUUCCAUCUAUUUCCACUUUUUACAAAAAAAAGCAAAAAACAAAAAAACAACCCAAAACAACCCAACCCACUGGAAUAUUAAGUUAGUAUUAAGUUAAAUGUGGUAUGUUUUAACCUUGCAUUGCAGAUAAGGAAUUCCUGGAGUUCCUCAAUCCUGCAUGAUUGCAGGCAGCUCACCUGAGUGUGCAUAAGGGAAAGGGGAACAAAAAUAUAAGAUUUUUCUGUUUCCUACCAAUUAUCUGAUAUUUCCCCUCUACUGUCUUUGGUGUAAAAGAAAACCAAAGUUCAGCCUUCUAGGAAAUGUAUUCUGGUAACCUGAAAGACUUUAUAAAUAGAGUGCACAAAUAGAUGACAGUAAUUCCAUGACAUAGAUUUUCUGCUUUAGAAUGAAAUGCUUCAUUUGAAAAAGCUCCUAAAAUUGUUAGAACAGUAAUUAAAAAAAAAAAAAAAAGUUUAAACUCCACAAUUGAAUACAAAAAACGUUGCUGUGAAGGUUUUGAUUUCCAAGAAAUCCAUUUUAAACUUAUUUACAAAGUUUACAUAGAAGAAUAGAUCUGCUGCUAUCUAUAACAUUCACUUCUGUAGUAGAACAGCUAAUUUGCGACUAUUGGAUGAGAGAUACAGAAAGAGUCACUUUAGUGAAAGAAAAAAAAAACAUAUUAUUUUAAGGACAAAUAGUAAAAAAUGAUUGUUUUGGAGUUUAGAGAAACAGAGUUUGAAGGAUUUUGCCCUCCAAUGCAGACUGCUCAUGCUUAUGCUGUAGCAAAGGAGGAGCAUCUUGACUACAAGAGUCUUAGUGGAAGAAAACUGGCAAUGCCUUUAUAAAAAUGUAUUUAAUUUCUGUGUUUGCAGUUUUCCCAGCUUCAUCCCUAGGUCCUGGCCUCAAGGGCCCUAGAGAUGUCACAGUUUUAAACAGUCUUAUAAAUCUAGGAGGGGAAAUGAGCUGUCUCUCAUCUUAAACAGAGAGCCUUGGAGAAUGUCUAUGGGGCUUUACCAAUGGAGCUGCCGAAAACAAAGCUAUGAUUCAGGGGUCUCUGACCUUUCCCAGCCCUCCUCCACCAGUGUCAGCCUGCAGCCUGCUCUUUAAAAGUUUCUGCUCACCCAGGGAGCAAAAUUAGAAAUCUUCUCCAGGGACAAUUUUUCUUCCAUCAAGCCACUCAUCAGCCCACUGAGGCAUGGAAACCAAAAAGGAAAAAGUGAGUUAAAAGAAUGUAUGUCUCUUGGUAAGGAUUUCCCACAGCAGAGUGUAAGUGUCCAGACUACCUCAUCAGCAGAGUCCCAGCCUUUACUAUACGUCUUGGUAUUCAGUCUGUACUGUAGUGGUAUAGAAAAGUGCCAAGCACUGUGCAGGUGAUGCAUGCAUCAAUACAGCAGAUGUGGAGGUGUGUUUGAACUGCUUAACAUCAGCACUUACCAAAUGUUGAAGACACUCUAGCCCCUACGACAAAUAAAAGCAUUCAUUCAGAUGUGCAUGGCAUUUCAGGAAUGGAAUCAUUAUUAUCUUCUCCGAAAAUGUUUUGUCUUAUGUUUAAUAUAAUAUAAUAUAUAUUGCUUAUUGGAAACAAAUCCUUGUUAGUCUCGUUGUUUGUUUGUUUCCUAAUUGUGGAUUACCACAGAACAGGGUACAGUUCAUAAAUACCUCAAAUAUCUGAAAGGUGAUUGCAGCAGAGCAGGGCUGCUAUCUUCUCACUGGUGGCAGGAUGAGGAGAAAUGGCCUCAGGCUGCACCAGGGGAGGUUUAGGUCGGAUAUCAGGAAGAAUUUCUUUACAGAAAGGGUUGUUAAGCUCUGGAAUGGGCUCCCCAGGGAGGUGUUGAGUCACCAUCCCUGGAUGUGUUUAAAAUCCAUCUGGAUGUGGUGCUCAGGGACAUGAUUUAGUGGAGGGUUGUUAGAGUUUGGGUAGUAUGGUUGGGUCUUGAUUGGACUCAAUGAUCUUUAAGGUCUUUUCCAAGCAAAUUCUAUGAUUUCCGGAGCAAUUCUAUGAUUCUGUCAUUUAAUAUGGAGAAAAUUCAAGUAAACUAAAAAUCAGAUUUAAAAGAUAACCUGGUGCAAUGUACUUUUAUUUAUUAAUUUGUUUAUUUUUAUUCCCCAGGCCUUUUUAAAGUUAACCCUAGGAAACACCCCACGUUGGCGACUCCUUGUAAUUCAUGUCAAUGUUCUUUCAGCAGCACAGUUGCUGCUUCCACGCCGUGAGCAUCUCCUGUAUUUGCUUUAGAACUGCUUCCUGCUGAUGCGUUAAGCACAGGAAGUGAAAGGUUGGUCCCAAAAUGUCUUCUGAGUGCAAAGGAGAAGCCUGCUGGGGCUGGGGCUGCAUGCAAGUCACAAUACUUUUCCUUGAAUAAUCACCUGAAGCACAGCUCUUAGAAACCAUUGUACUGCAGCAAGUAGCUGCUAUUUUUCUGCACCCUUUUUUUUCUGUGCUUUCAGUGGCAGUUGUAGGUAUCUCACAUGGCCAGCUGCUCUCUGUUCAC